UCCUGGGUGGCUCAGUCAGUUGAGCGUCUGACUUCAGCUCAGGCAUGAUCUCACGGUUUGUGGGUUCGAGCCCCAUGUCAGGCU
Molecule: transfer RNA, 84 nt
Filed under: Felis catus (domestic cat)
Lineage: Eukaryota; Metazoa; Chordata; Mammalia; Carnivora; Felidae
Rfam family: tRNA
About the family: Transfer RNA (tRNA) molecules are approximately 80 nucleotides in length. Their secondary structure includes four short double-helical elements and three loops (D, anti-codon, and T loops).
Source: Rfam by way of RNAcentral